Arachis ipaensis is the source of this 551-nucleotide non-coding RNA. The record is from RefSeq and is a predicted model, not a curated record. NCBI's taxonomy places the organism in Eukaryota, Viridiplantae, Streptophyta, Magnoliopsida, Fabales, Fabaceae.
GACUCAAGUAAAAAUCUUAGAAUUCUGGAGAAGAUUGCCCAAAUAUUCAAAGAGGAUUUGAAGUUUAGUGGAGAAGAGCUUUCUGGAAGCAGAAUGGAGAGUAAGAAUAGACAAGACAAUUACGAAUUACAGCUACAAUAGUUGAUAAUCCUUGAAGACAGACAGUCCCAGCAUGGUGGAAUUGACAGUAUUUUACUGGUUACAUGGAAGAAAUAAGAGUUCAUGUGCUAUCAAUUUAAUUUAGUGGAUAAGAUUUCAUGUUUAACUGGCUACCGCAAGGUGGGGCUGGUGGUCUAAGUUUUCUGCUUUGUGUGAGAGACUAUACUAAGCAAAGCAACUGCUGAUGUUGACAAAGGGGUCCAUGAUGAGACUGGUUUCUUUUAGGUGGUUCUAUUUUUUGAAAAUAUGGGCUUGGAUAAAGAAACUAUUGGGAGAAUUAUUUUCCGCUGCCAGCAUUGAUAAAACUCUUUAGAGGAAGAUUGAAUUCCUUUCUAGGGUUGGCAUUUUUUAAGCUUAUUUUCCUGGGAUAAUUAGAAAAUAUCCGGAAUUAC